AUACUUACCUGGCACAGGAGUUAACGUUGAUCAUCAAGGACGUUCUCCCAGGGCGAGGCCUUUCCAUUGCACUUCGGUUGGGCUGACCCUUGCGAUCACCCCAAAUGUGGGUGACUCGGGUGCAGCAUUUAUGGUAGUGGGGGACUGCGUACGCGCUUUCCCCUU
Molecule: small nuclear RNA, 165 nt
Organism: Lineus longissimus
Lineage: Eukaryota; Metazoa; Nemertea; Pilidiophora; Heteronemertea; Lineidae
Product: U1 spliceosomal RNA
Exons: 1
Source: RefSeq, a predicted model, not a curated record